RNAcentral lists this ribosomal RNA (676 nucleotides) under Microbacterium sp. 'Mali 23'. RNAcentral's name for it is "bacterial SSU rRNA". It matches the Rfam family "Bacterial small subunit ribosomal RNA", at positions 1 to 642 of the family's 1533-position model. Lineage: Bacteria; Bacillati; Actinomycetota; Actinomycetes; Micrococcales; Microbacteriaceae. The record is from RNAcentral.
CCGAAUUCGUCGACAACAGAGUUUGAUCCUGGCUCAGCCGAAUUCGUCGACAACAGAGUUUGAUCCUGGCUCAGGAUGAACGCUGGCGGCGUGCUUAACACAUGCAAGUCGAACGAUGAAGCCCAGCUUGCUGGGUGGAUUAGUGGCGAACGGGUGAGUAACACGUGAGCAACCUGCCCCUGACUCUGGGAUAAGCGCUGGAAACGGCGUCUAAUACUGGAUAUGUCCCGUCACCGCAUGGUGUGCGGGUGGAAAGAUUUUUCGGUUGGGGAUGGGCUCGCGGCCUAUCAGCUUGUUGGUGAGGUAAUGGCUCACCAAGGCGUCGACGGGUAGCCGGCCUGAGAGGGUGACCGGCCACACUGGGACUGAGACACGGCCCAGACUCCUACGGGAGGCAGCAGUGGGGAAUAUUGCACAAUGGGCGGAAGCCUGAUGCAGCAACGCCGCGUGAGGGAUGACGGCCUUCGGGUUGUAAACCUCUUUUAGCAGGGAAGAAGCGAGAGUGACGGUACCUGCAGAAAAAGCACCGGCUAACUACGUGCCAGCAGCCGCGGUAAUACGUAGGGUGCAAGCGUUAUCCGGAAUUAUUGGGCGUAAAGAGCUCGUAGGCGGUCUGUCGCGUCUGCUGUGAAAUCCCGAGGCUCAACCUCGGGCUUGCAGUGGGUACGGGCAGACU